This 202-nucleotide ribosomal RNA is filed under the name uncultured Aerococcus sp. Its description in RNAcentral is "partial 16S ribosomal RNA". It matches the Rfam family "Bacterial small subunit ribosomal RNA", at positions 161 to 357 of the family's 1533-position model. Lineage: Bacteria; Bacillati; Bacillota; Bacilli; Lactobacillales; Aerococcaceae. The record is from RNAcentral.
GGCUAAUACCGCAUAGGAAGUUUGUUCGCAUGAACAAACUUAGAAAGAUGGCUCUGCUAUCACUUAUCGAUGGCCUUGCGGUGCAUUAACUAGUUGGCGAGGUAACGGCUCACCAAGGUGAUGAUGCAUAGCCGACCUGAGAGGGUAAUCGGCCACAUUGGGACUGAGACACGGCCCAAACUCCUACGGGAGGCAGCAGUCG